Molecule: long non-coding RNA, 971 nt
Organism: Lycium barbarum (goji berry)
Lineage: Eukaryota; Viridiplantae; Streptophyta; Magnoliopsida; Solanales; Solanaceae
Exons: 2
Source: RefSeq, a predicted model, not a curated record
CCCACAACCCGGCCCAACGAUACAUAAUACUCCCUCAUAAUAACAAAAGAAUGGAGGAAGGGUUAUAUUGCAAAAAUGGACCCCAGCCGCCCUACUCCACCACAAGCCUGUCUCCGUCAUCACCACCUACCACUCCUUUCUCGGUCCCGUCCCAUUGCUACUGGCUAGUGGUGUGAAGAGAGAAGGCGAAGCCAUUCAUGCUCCGCCCUUCUCUCUACGAAAUCAGGCUAAACAACCCCUAAAGGUACAAUCCAUGUAUUUCCCUUUAUAUUUUUCAUUUUUUACAAUUGCUAGACAUCGUUUUAGCCGUUGAUUGAAAUUUUUGGCAAAUCUGAACCCUUCACUAUGAAUCUGAGGCUUAAAUGCUUGAAAUAUGGGAAUUCCCACAUCGAAAAUAUAGUGUUUUGUUGAUGUUUUGGGAUUCUAUAAAUAGAACCCUAUCCUUACAAGUUAGAAAGGGGAGAAAAAUUGAGAGAAAUCAAAAAUAUUGGCUGAUACUUGAUUUUUUGAGUUAAAGCUUUAUUUAGUAAAAAAAUUAUUAGUCUUGAGAUCCUAAAUCUUUUGUUUUCCUAGUAUAAAAAUCUUUACUUUUAUUUUAUUUGUGUGGGUGUUGUUUUGGCUGAGUUUGGAGAGUGGAAAAGGAGCUCUCAAGUUCAUUCUUGGCAGAGGUUGUGCACAAAAAAGGCCGGUCGGGUCAAAUGCAUAAAACCACCCCUUGGGCCUAAGGCCCAAGUGGGAAUACUACUUCAAAAUGGAGUUCGGGAGGACAAAGAAGAUAGCGAGGCGCGCAGAAGGACCAGCCAUGGGUGAAAAUGGCCAACUAGGGGCUUGGUACGCCCCUAGUCUAACUUAGCCCCUUUUAAUUAAUCAGUGGUAUUCAUUGUUGUAUUUGUAUUUGAAACUUGUAUUCAAAACUCAUACAUAGUGGAAAUCUAUGAUUGGAACUAGACGUCUUAGGACAACGGUUCUUA